AAGUCGUAACAAGGUUUCCGUAGGUGAACCUGCGGAAGGAUCAUUACCGAGUGCGGGCCCUCUGGGUCCAACCUCCCAUCCGUGUCUAUCUGUACCCUGUUGCUUCGGCGUGGCCACGGCCCGCCGAAGACUAACAUUUGAACACUGUCUGAAGUUUGCAGUCUGAGUUUUUAGUUAAACAAUAAUUAAAACUUUCAACAACGGAUCUCUUGGUUCCG
Molecule: unclassified non-coding RNA, 218 nt
Filed under: Aspergillus proliferans
Lineage: Eukaryota; Fungi; Ascomycota; Eurotiomycetes; Eurotiales; Aspergillaceae
Also listed under: 3 other names
Description: partial internal transcribed spacer region
Rfam family: Eukaryotic small subunit ribosomal RNA (bases 1-46)
Source: RNAcentral